CCUUUAAAGUUCAAAAACCUUGCAACGGCAACGGUUGACGUCUGCUCUCAUCUCACUGACGUUUCAUUGUGUUCCCUUUUUCUACGCAGCAAACAGGUUGCAAAGUUUUGUUAGCUUGUUUUUUUGGAAUUUAGAGCAUUGAGAUAAAAAAUUUAACUGAUAAUUUUUCCUAAAAAAUAAAGUGAAGUGAAAAGUAAUGAACACGGCUUCUGAUACGUUGGCCGCUGGCCAGCGGAAGGCACAUAUGGCCCUGAUUAGUUGCCGUCUGCCAGUUCCAACUGGAACUGAUUUUCAACGAGGAUCUCCAGAAAUUUAUUUUGUUUCUUCGAAACAGAAAAAUCACUGCUUCACUGCUGCUCGGGAGGAGUUGAUAACGUAACCAAGCCUCGAUAACGCAGCGUCAAGCGGCCAAGGCGAUUCUCAUUCCGUGGCUGAUCCGCUCCAGGGACCAGAAAAAGGAAGUGUUUUAGUGUAAGAAAUUAUUCGAAAUAAAUUAUGGUGUGAUGAAAA
This is a long non-coding RNA of Culex quinquefasciatus (southern house mosquito), 510 nucleotides long. RefSeq lists it as uncharacterized. The record is from RefSeq and is a predicted model, not a curated record. NCBI's taxonomy places the organism in Eukaryota, Metazoa, Arthropoda, Insecta, Diptera, Culicidae. The transcript is spliced from 2 exons.